UACGGAGGAUGCGAGCGUUAUCCGGAUUUAUUGGGUUUAAAGGGUGCGUAGGCGGACGCUUAAGUCAGCGGUAAAAUUGCGGGGCUCAACCUCGUCGAGCCGUUGAAACUGGGUGCCUUGAGUGGGCGAGAAGUACGCGGAAUGCGUGGUCUAGCGGUGAAAUGCAUAGAUAUCACGCAGAACUCCGAUUGCGAAGGCAGCGUACCGGCGCCCAACUGACGCUGAAGCACGAAGGCGUGGGUAUCGAACAGG
RNAcentral lists this ribosomal RNA (252 nucleotides) under uncultured bacterium. RNAcentral's name for it is "partial 16S ribosomal RNA". It matches the Rfam family "Bacterial small subunit ribosomal RNA", at positions 524 to 776 of the family's 1533-position model. The record is from RNAcentral.